Molecule: transfer RNA, 70 nt
Filed under: Hylarana latouchii (broad-folded frog)
Lineage: Eukaryota; Metazoa; Chordata; Amphibia; Anura; Ranidae
Description: tRNA-Thr
Rfam family: tRNA
About the family: Transfer RNA (tRNA) molecules are approximately 80 nucleotides in length. Their secondary structure includes four short double-helical elements and three loops (D, anti-codon, and T loops).
Source: RNAcentral
GCUCUGAUAGCUUAAGUUAAAGCACCGGUCUUGUAAGCCGGAGACUGCAGCAUAACCCCUGCUCAGAGCU